Molecule: long non-coding RNA, 536 nt
Organism: Arachis duranensis
Lineage: Eukaryota; Viridiplantae; Streptophyta; Magnoliopsida; Fabales; Fabaceae
Exons: 4
Source: RefSeq, a predicted model, not a curated record
UCACAAGCAGCUUCAGACUCCAUUCACACUCCAAAUCUUGCUCCUCAGUGCCACAUUCUUCCAUCACCGCUGUUCCAUAACUACAGUCAUCCACUGCAUUCUUCCAUCAUCAACACCUUUGGGACUUCCAUCACUCUCGUCGUUGUCAAUCAUCACUCUCGGUCCCUUGAACAAACAGAACCUGGAGUUUUUCUGAGCUGGGUUGGAGCUGAAUCCAAGGUACGGAAGCUUCUCAGUACAUCCAGUUGGGAAAGCUAUUGUGGAUGCUGCUCAGAAAGUUAAUUGUACUAACGCUAAGGUUGCAGAUGGAACAUUCCUUGAAGAACCUGGUUCUGGUGCAGCAGCAACUGUUGAUAACAAAAAGGUCUUUGUUGGGACAUUGGAUUGGAUCACCAGAUCCUUAAAGAUAGACGGUUGAAUGAGACUGCCGUUCUUGGUGUCCCUGUGAAAGCCACAAUCAAAGAAGUAUUUUUGUAAAAAGCAAAUCCUGAUAGAUUAUUCACAAGCUUAAUAUUUAGUUUGCUACAUUAAAAUAA